Molecule: unclassified non-coding RNA, 377 nt
Filed under: uncultured Alphaproteobacteria bacterium
Lineage: Bacteria; Pseudomonadati; Pseudomonadota; Alphaproteobacteria
Description: contains 16S-23S intergenic spacer region
Source: RNAcentral
UCCGGCUUGUCGCCGGCGGUCCCUCUAGAGUGCCCAACUGAAUGAUGGCAACUAAAGGCGAGGGUUGCGCUCGUUGCGGGACUUAACCCAACAUCUCACGACACGAGCUGACGACAGCCAUGCAGCACCUGUCUCUGCGUCCCUUGCGGGAAAACUCCCAUUACGGAGCGGUCGCAGGAUGUCAAACCCUGGUAAGGUUCUUCGCGUAGCCUCGAAUUAAACCACACGCUCCACCGCUUGUGCGGGUCCCCGUCAAUUCCUUUGAGUUUUAGCCUUGCGGCCGUACUCCCCAGGCGGGAUGCUUAACGCGUUAGCUUCGCUACUGAAGGGGUCGAUUCCUCCAACAGCUAGCAUCCAUCGUUUACGGCGUGGACUAC